This 327-nucleotide long non-coding RNA is filed under the name Bos taurus (domestic cattle). RNAcentral's name for it is "long non-coding RNA NONBTAT023216". The record is from RNAcentral. Lineage: Eukaryota; Metazoa; Chordata; Mammalia; Artiodactyla; Bovidae.
GCUGGUGGAAAAAACUGAAUCUUUCCAGCCGUGACUGUCACUUACUCAACACUUUUCUUUUCCUACAAGGAGUGGUCACCUCCAUCUGAUAAAUCAGUGUUACUCAAUAUUUCCUUGGGGAAGGGCAGCACAGGGAAAGUUUCUUUUACUGUCCCUGCUGCAGUCAGACUGGCAUUUUUCUUUUCACUCCAAGGAUGAGCUUGACUUCUGCAAGUUUUCCCAUGGGUGAGUGCCUGCCCAGUUCGGCAUUUCCCUCAUUUUUUGUCUGGUAGCAGACUAAGGAGUCUAGGCAGUUUCUCUGGCUCUGCUAGUUCUGCAGCCAUAUAA